This 546-nucleotide ribosomal RNA is filed under the name Pseudomonas sp. DW118. RNAcentral describes it as "bacterial SSU rRNA". It matches the Rfam family "Bacterial small subunit ribosomal RNA", at positions 214 to 752 of the family's 1533-position model. The record is from RNAcentral. Lineage: Bacteria; Pseudomonadati; Pseudomonadota; Gammaproteobacteria; Pseudomonadales; Pseudomonadaceae.
UGCGCUAUCAGAUGAGCCUAGGUCGGAUUAGCUAGUUGGUGGGGUAAUGGCUCACCAAGGCGACGAUCCGUAACUGGUCUGAGAGGAUGAUCAGUCACACUGGAACUGAGACACGGUCCAGACUCCUACGGGAGGCAGCAGUGGGGAAUAUUGGACAAUGGGCGAAAGCCUGAUCCAGCCAUGCCGCGUGUGUGAAGAAGGUCUUCGGAUUGUAAAGCACUUUAAGUUGGGAGGAAGGGUUGUAGAUUAAUACUCUGCAAUUUUGACGUUACCGACAGAAUAAGCACCGGCUAACUCUGUGCCAGCAGCCGCGGUAAUACAGAGGGUGCAAGCGUUAAUCGGAAUUACUGGGCGUAAAGCGCGCGUAGGUGGUUAGUUAAGUUGGAUGUGAAAUCCCCGGGCUCAACCUGGGAACUGCAUUCAAAACUGACUGACUAGAGUAUGGUAGAGGGUGGUGGAAUUUCCUGUGUAGCGGUGAAAUGCGUAGAUAUAGGAAGGAACACCAGUGGCGAAGGCGACCACCUGGACUGAUACUGACACUGAGGU